AAAAAAGGUAAGCUACUAAGAGCGAAUGGUGGAUGCCUUGACUGGUAAAGGCGAUGAAGGACGUACUAGACUGCGAUAAGCUACGGGGAGCUGUCAAGAAGCUUUGAUCCGUAGAUUUCCGAAUGGGGCAACCCAAUGUAUAGAGAUAUACAUUACCUAUAUAGGAGCGAACGAGGGGAAUUGAAACAUCUUAGUACCCUCAGGAAAAGAAAUCAAUAGAGAUUGCGUCAGUAGCGGCGAGCGAAAGCGCAAGAGGGCAAACCCAGUGCUUGCACUGGGGGUUGUAGGACUGCAAUGUGCAAGAGGUGAGUUUAGCAGAACAUUCUGGAAAGUAUAGCCAUAGAGGGUGAUAGUCCCGUAUGCGAAAAACAAACCUUAGCUAGCAGUAUCCUGAGUAGGGCGGGACACGAGGAAUCCUGUCUGAAUCCGGGUCGACCACGAUCCAACCCUAAAUACUAAUACCAGAUCGAUAGUGCACAAGUACCGUGAGGGAAAGGUGAAAAGAACUGAGGUGAUCAGAGUGAAAUAGAACCUGAAACCAUUUGCUUACAAUCAUUCAGAGCCCUAUGUAGCAAUACAGGGUGAUGGACUGCCUUUUGCAUAAUGAGCCUGCGAGUUGUGGUGUCUGGCAAGGUUAAGCAAACGCGAAGCCGUAGCGAAAGCGAGUCUGAAUAGGGCGCUUAGUCAGAUGCUGCAGACCCGAAACGAAGUGAUCUAUCCAUGAGCAAGUUGAAGCUAGUGUAAGAACUAGUGGAGGACUGAACCCAUAGGCGUUGAAAAGCCCCGGGAUGACUUGUGGAUAGGGGUGAAAGGCCAAUCAAACUUCGUGAUAGCUGGUUCUCUCCGAAAUAUAUUUAGGUAUAGCGUUGUGUCGUAAUAUAAGGGGGUAGAGCACUGAAUGGGCUAGGGCAUACACCAAUGUACCAAACCCUAUCAAACUCCGAAUACCUUAUAUGUAAUCACAGCAGUCAGGCGGCGAGUGAUAAAAUCCGUCGUCAAGAGGGAAACAACCCAGACUACCAGCUAAGGUCCCUAAAUCUUACUUAAGUGGAAAACGAUGUGAAGUUACUUAAACAACCAGGAGGUUGGCUUAGAAGCAGCCAUCCUUUAAAGAAAGCGUAAUAGCUCACUGGUCUAGUGAUUUUGCGCGGAAAAUAUAACGGGGCUAAAGUAAGUACCGAAGCUGUAGACUUGCGCACAACUUAGAUUAUUUAAGUUUAGAAUAUGAGAAACUAAGUUAUAUGUUUAGUUAUAUUUUUACUGAUUUUUAUAGAGUAAAGAUAGAAAUAAAACUUAGUAAAAUCAGUAAAAAUAUUCUUAGAUUAAAGUUAAGUAGUUUAAGUUGUGUGCAAGUGGUAGGAGAGCGUUCUAUUUGCGUCGAAGGUAUACCGGUAAGGAGUGCUGGAGCGAAUAGAAGUGAGCAUGCAGGCAUGAGUAGCGAUAAUUAAUGUGAGAAUCAUUAACGCCGUAAACCCAAGGUUUCCUACGCGAUGCUCGUCAUCGUAGGGUUAGUCGGGUCCUAAGUCGAGUCCGAAAGGGGUAGACGAUGGCAAAUUGGUUAAUAUUCCAAUACCAACAUUAGUGUGCGAUGGAAGGACGCUUAGGGCUAAGGGGGCUAGCGGAUGGAAGUGCUAGUCUAAGGUCGUAGGAGGUUAUACAGGCAAAUCCGUAUAACAAUACUCCGAGAACUGAAAGGCUUUUUGAAGUCUUCGGAUGGAUAGAAGAACCCCUGAUGCCGUCGAGCCAAGAAAAGUUUCUAAGUUUAGCUAAUGUUGCCCGUACCGUAAACCGACACAGGUGGGUGGGAUGAGUAUUCUAAGGCGCGUGGAAGAACUCUCUUUAAGGAACUCUGCAAAAUAGCACCGUA
Molecule: ribosomal RNA, 1867 nt
Filed under: Campylobacter coli
Lineage: Bacteria; Pseudomonadati; Campylobacterota; Epsilonproteobacteria; Campylobacterales; Campylobacteraceae
Description: partial 23S ribosomal RNA
Rfam family: Bacterial large subunit ribosomal RNA
Source: RNAcentral